This 57-nucleotide ribosomal RNA is filed under the name Rhodococcus sp. ACPA1. RNAcentral's name for it is "partial 23S ribosomal RNA". The record is from RNAcentral. Lineage: Bacteria; Bacillati; Actinomycetota; Actinomycetes; Mycobacteriales; Nocardiaceae.
ACAGUGGACGCGAGCAUCUUUGUUGUAAGUAAUGAAGAGCGUACGGUGGAUGCCUUG